Molecule: ribosomal RNA, 96 nt
Filed under: Citrobacter braakii
Lineage: Bacteria; Pseudomonadati; Pseudomonadota; Gammaproteobacteria; Enterobacterales; Enterobacteriaceae
Description: partial 16S ribosomal RNA
Source: RNAcentral
GUCGUAACAAGGUAACCGUAGGGGAACCUGCGGUUGGAUCACCUCCUUACCUUAAAGAAACGUUCUUUGUAGUGCUCACACAGAUUGUCUGAUGAA